UGUGUCGUUAUCCCGUAGAUGGUAGCGGUGGGGACUGUAAAUCCCUUGUCAUUGAGACUCGGUAGGUUCGACUCCUACACGGCACACCAA
RNAcentral lists this transfer RNA (90 nucleotides) under Escherichia phage JLBYU32. RNAcentral describes it as "tRNA-Tyr". It matches the Rfam family "tRNA". Rfam says of the family: Transfer RNA (tRNA) molecules are approximately 80 nucleotides in length. Their secondary structure includes four short double-helical elements and three loops (D, anti-codon, and T loops). Further hydrogen bonds mediate the characteristic L-shaped molecular structure. tRNAs have two regions of fundamental functional importance: the anti-codon, which is responsible for specific mRNA codon recognition, and the 3' end, to which the tRNAs corresponding amino acid is attached (by aminoacyl-tRNA synthetases). tRNAs cope with the degeneracy of the genetic code in two manners: having more than one tRNA (with a specific anti-codon) for a particular amino acid; and 'wobble' base-pairing, i.e. permitting non-standard base-pairing at the 3rd anti-codon position. Lineage: Duplodnaviria; Heunggongvirae; Uroviricota; Caudoviricetes; Andersonviridae. The record is from RNAcentral.